RNAcentral lists this ribosomal RNA (273 nucleotides) under uncultured prokaryote. Its description in RNAcentral is "partial 16S ribosomal RNA". It matches the Rfam family "Bacterial small subunit ribosomal RNA", at positions 524 to 796 of the family's 1533-position model. The record is from RNAcentral.
GACGUAGGAUGCGAGCGUUGUCCGGAAUCAUUGGGCGUAAAGAGUUCGUAGGCGGCAUGUCAAGUCUGGUGUUAAAGCCCGGGGCUCAACCCCGGUUUCGCACCGGAUACUGGCAAGCUAGAGUGCAGAAGAGGCAAGGGGAAUUCCCAGUGUAGCGGUGAAAUGCGUAGAUAUUGGGAGGAACACCGGUGGCGUAAGCGCCUUGCUGGGCUGUUACUGACGCUGAGGAACGAAAGCCGGGGGAGCGAAUGGGAUUAGAAACCCCAGUAGUCC